This 405-nucleotide ribosomal RNA is filed under the name uncultured bacterium. RNAcentral describes it as "partial 16S ribosomal RNA". It matches the Rfam family "Bacterial small subunit ribosomal RNA", at positions 28 to 526 of the family's 1533-position model. The record is from RNAcentral.
GAUGAACGCUGGCGGCGUGCCUAAUACAUGCAAGUCGAGCGAAGCGGGGACGGGUGAGUAACACGUGGAUAACCUCCUAUAAGACUGGGAUAACUUCGGGAAACCGGAGCUAAACCGGAUACUUAUCGAUGGAUCCUCGCUGCAUUGGCUGGUUGGUAAGGUAACGGCUUACCAAGGCAACGAUGCAUAGCCGACCUGAGAGGGUGACCGGCCACACUGGAACUGAGACACGGUCCAGACUCCUACGGGAGGCAGCAGUGGGGAAUAUUGCGCAAUGGGCGAAAGCCUGACGGAGCAACGCCGCGUGAGUGAUGAAGGUCUUCGGAUCGUAAAACUCUGUUAUCAGGGAAGCGGUACCUAAACAGAAAGCAACGGCUAACCACGUGCCAGCAGCCGCGGUAAUAC